RNAcentral lists this microRNA precursor (88 nucleotides) under Cricetulus griseus (Chinese hamster). Its description in RNAcentral is "mir-684". Lineage: Eukaryota; Metazoa; Chordata; Mammalia; Rodentia; Cricetidae. The record is from RNAcentral.
ACAAGACACUUGACUUGAAGGGAAAACUAUCUAGGAUCAUUUUCUUCAAGAGUAAUUUACCCUUACUUAAAUACAGAUUGCUCUACAC